Molecule: long non-coding RNA, 222 nt
Filed under: Elaeis guineensis (African oil palm)
Lineage: Eukaryota; Viridiplantae; Streptophyta; Magnoliopsida; Arecales; Arecaceae
Description: long non-coding RNA (EGUI_LNC081069)
Source: RNAcentral
ACCCAUUUUCGAUUGUUAGUUGGUUUGUUACAACGGUGAUAUGGUAUCACCAUUGCAACCAAAAUUUACUCAAAAAGGAGGAUGGCCUUGGCAUUAAAAAUCUCACCAACUUAAAUUACUCCCUUUUGGUUUCCUCCAUUUCCAUCAAAAAAAAAAAUUACUCCCUUUUGUCAAAAUGGGCUUGGAAAUUUAUUGGAGGUCAUGCUGCACGUUGGGCUGGUC